RNAcentral lists this unclassified non-coding RNA (482 nucleotides) under uncultured fungus. RNAcentral's name for it is "partial internal transcribed spacer 2". The record is from RNAcentral. Lineage: Eukaryota; Fungi.
AACGCAUGUUGCGCUCCCGUGGUCACCCCCCGGGAGCACGUUCGCUUGAGUGCCGCUUCCUUUUCAUCUCUAAUCUCUCUCUCUUAUUUCCAUAGAGAGAGAGAGAGAGGAGGACACAGGUUUUGCACACGCAGCCGCCAUAUGUGUGGUGUGUGCGUGCAUGACCUUAGAUAGUGGUAUUAUUAUUAUAUCAUUAUAGUGAUGAUGGUGGUGUGGACACACACACACACACAAACAGGAGAAAAUACACAUCAACACAACUAACAACGCACACGAGGAAAGUGAGAUGGUGGGCGUAUGUAUAUACACAUACACACAACACUCCCAUUUUCUUCUGUUGAUAGUUGGUGUAUUUAUAUAUUGUUUGUGUGUGUGUGUGUGUGUUGUGUAUAAUAUACACGCACACACACACACACACAUUCAUAUCACAUUAUUCUUAUUUACCCGGCCUCAAGUCGAGCGACAGCACCCGCUGAAUUUAA